AUUAGUAGUAGUUAUAUUCUUGAAAAUUAAAAAAUUUGGCGGUAUUUUAGUCUAUUCAGAGGAACUUGUCCUGUAAUUGAUAAUCCACGAUUUAUAUUACUUUUUUUCUUAACUUAUAUAUCGUCGUAAUUUGAAAAUUUUAGAAAAAUUAUUAAUUUUCAAGAUUUUUUAUUAGGAAUUAAAUCAGAUCAAGAUGUAGUUUAUAAAAAAGAAGAGAUGAGUUACAUUUAACUUAUUAUAAAAGAUAAUUAUUAGAAUAAUAAUUUGAAUAUGGAUUUGAAAGUAAUUUUAAUUAAUUAAUUAAAAUGAUUUAAGCUCUAAAAUAUGUACACAUCGCCCG
This 340-nucleotide ribosomal RNA is filed under the name Crioceris quatuordecimpunctata. Its description in RNAcentral is "partial 12S rRNA". The record is from RNAcentral. Lineage: Eukaryota; Metazoa; Arthropoda; Insecta; Coleoptera; Chrysomelidae.